Molecule: non-coding RNA, 1489 nt
Organism: Lactuca sativa (garden lettuce)
Lineage: Eukaryota; Viridiplantae; Streptophyta; Magnoliopsida; Asterales; Asteraceae
Source: RefSeq, a predicted model, not a curated record
GUUUGAAAAAAAUAAAGACACAAAUGCCCUAGCCCUAGUUGUCUCACUGUUUCUUUUCUUCUCAAAACCUCGCCUCAUCCGACCUUUCCUCUCAUCGACUCACAACAACGACAUCGACUCCAUCUGUGUGUUCCCUCCCCGCCAUCACAGUCGUCGACGUCUUCUUCUCCGCCGACAGUUCCGACGCUGCGCCACGGCACUCCGUCUCCACCUGCGACAACAACGAUUUCUGCAGUUGCCGGCCGAUGAUGAUAAAUUAAGUUUCAGAGCAUUCAAAGCUCUCGUAAUUGCAAACUGUGGACUUUCUAGCAGCAUACCCAUGUGGCUAAAAGAUUCAACAUAAUUACAGUUAUAAGAUUUGUCGUGGAAUAAUUUGGUAGGUUCGAUUCCAUCUUAUUUAGGUGAUUUUGAUUCUCCUUUUUACUUGGAUCCAUCCAAUAACUCGUUGUCGUGAGUGAUACCAAAGAACCUCACGCACUUACCUUGCCUCAGUUUCCAGGAAAUAUCACUGGAAGAGGGUUCACCGGAUUUCUCGUUUUUCCGGCGAACCAACAUCAGUAACAGAGCAGUCGCGUUCAGUAUAAUCAUAUUAUGAGCUUCCCACCUCUUCUUGAUCUCAGUAAUAACCACCUCAUCGGCUCCAUCUGGCCCGAAUUUGGGAACUUGAAAAGCAAAGGUGCAAUUGCAGAUAUGGCAAUCGAAAUCAGAAUCGGGACAUUAUUCAUUCUUCUACUCAUGUUCUUGAUCGUCCUUCGCACACCAACCAGACAAGAAGUCGAUCCAGAAAAAGAUGAUGAAACCGAUAGCAACAAAGAAGAACAUGAAUCAAAACUAGUAGUUCUUUUCCAUAAAUCAAACGAAAACAACACAGAUCCUUCCCUCAACGAUCUUUUGAAAUCAUCCAACAGUCUCAAGAAUGGAUUGGAAUCCGUACGUGUGAGGCACAUGAGGGGUAAAUGUCAAUUAAGCCAAAAAAACGUUUAUGCAAAAAUGGUCCCUUACAUAUGAAAUGAUGAAUUUACCCUCACGUGUGAGGCACAUGAGGGGGCUUAACAGAUCCUACUUCGGGAGUUAAGUCCAAGGACCAAAACCACAUACAAACCACUCUAAAAGGACCAUGGAUCCAAAAAACUCGUGGUUUGGACUAAAACCCCAAAAUUGUGCAUACCACAGGGACCAUUUUUGCAAUUUUGUCUUUUUUUUUGCUAUGAAAUUUGAUUCUAUGAAAUCCGAUGUUAAAUGAAAUAUGUUGUCAAAUGUUGCUGAAUUGUGUAUUUUUUUUUUGUUGAAAUUGUUGCUGAAUUGUGCAUCUUUUUGUUGAAAUUGUUGUUGAAUUAUGUAUUUUUUUUUUUGUUGAAAUUGUUGCUAAAAAUGUGUAUUUGUAUUGCUUAAAUUGAAAUUGUUGCUGAAAAUGCGCAUUUGCAAUGCUUAAAUUGUUGCUAAAACAUACAUUUGUUUGUUGAGAAAAGAAGGAUAUGAUUAGUUGGAA